This 301-nucleotide ribosomal RNA is filed under the name uncultured bacterium. RNAcentral describes it as "partial 16S ribosomal RNA". It matches the Rfam family "Bacterial small subunit ribosomal RNA", at positions 509 to 809 of the family's 1533-position model. The record is from RNAcentral.
CAGUAGCCGCGGGAAUACAGAGGGUGCAAGCGUUAAUCGGAAUUACUGGGCGUAAAGCGCGCGUAGGUGGUUUGUUAAGUUUGAUGUGAAAUCCCCGGGCUCAACCUGGGAACUGCAUCCAAAACUGGCAAGCUAGAGUAUGGUAGAGGGUGGUGGAAUUUCCUGUGUAGCGGUGAAAUGCGUAGAUAUAGGAAGGAACACCAGUGUCGAAGGCGACCACCUGGACUGAUACUGACACUGAGGUGCGAAAGCGUGGGGAGCAAACAGGAUUAGAUACCCCCGUAGUCCCUGUCUCUUAUAA